UACGUAGGGGCCUAGCGUUGUCCGGAAUUAUUGGGCGUAAAGAGCUCGUAGGCGGUUCGGCAAGUCGGAUGUGAAAUCUCCACGCUUAACGUGGAGGGGCCAUUCGAAACUGCCGUGACUCGAGUCCGGUAGGGGAGUGUGGAAUUCCCGGUGUAGCGGUGAAAUGCGCAGAUAUCGGGAAGAACACCCGUGGCGAAGGCGGCACUCUGGGACGGUACUGACGCUGAGACGCGAAAGCGUGGGGAGCGAACAGG
This 254-nucleotide ribosomal RNA is filed under the name uncultured bacterium. RNAcentral describes it as "partial 16S ribosomal RNA". It matches the Rfam family "Bacterial small subunit ribosomal RNA", at positions 524 to 776 of the family's 1533-position model. The record is from RNAcentral.